CCUACGGGUGGCAGCAGUGAGGAAUAUUGGUCAAUGGACGAGAGUCUGAACCAGCCAAGUCGCGUGAAGGAUGACUGCCCUAUGGGUUGUAAACUUCUUUUAUCUGGGAAUAACAUGUUCCACGUGUGGGCUUUUGUAUGUACCAUAUGAAUAAGGAUCGGCCAACCCCGUGCCAGCAGCCGCGGUAAUACGGAGGAUCCGAGCGUUAUUCGGAUUUAUUGGGUUUAAAGGGUGCGUAGGUGGGGUGUUAAGGCAGUUGUGAAAGUUUGCGGCUCAACCGUAAAAUUGCAGUUGAAACUGGCAGUCUUGAGUACAGUAGAGGUGGGCGGAAUGCGUGGUGUAGCGGUGAAAUGCUUAGAUAUCACGAAGAACUCCGAUUGCGAAGGCAGCUCACUGGACUGCAACUGACACUGAGGCUCGAAAGUGUGGGUAUCAAACAGGAUUAGAUACCCUAGUAGUC
RNAcentral lists this ribosomal RNA (460 nucleotides) under uncultured bacterium. RNAcentral's name for it is "partial 16S ribosomal RNA". It matches the Rfam family "Bacterial small subunit ribosomal RNA", at positions 338 to 795 of the family's 1533-position model. The record is from RNAcentral.